AUUAAUAUCCUGUAACUAACACUGACCUUGAUCAUAGGAGGGCAAGGCUGGCUUAGUAGAGACCUGAUAAGAUGUCACACAGGGCAUGCAGCAGUGGCAACUGGAGGAGCAGCCUGUUGUCUCCAGGACCACUGAGCAGCAUUUGGCUCCAUAUGGCUGUUUUUCAAGCUUGAUGGUACAGACACGUGGCACACGAGGGCAGACAGAUGGGGUGAGCAACGGCCAUAAUGUUUAAGGCACACUACAUGUCACAGCUCCUGAAUCUGCCUUCCAGGACACAAGGUUAAGAAGGAUUACUCAAUCAUCAAAACCCCGCUAGCUCAGCUUAUGAGACAGAAUUCUCCAACUCUCAGGGGAAGUAGAUACAUGUCUUCUGGGAUGCUUCAGGUCCAAUUUUUGUUUCUCUUGAUAGUUC
This 415-nucleotide long non-coding RNA is filed under the name Phasianus colchicus (ring-necked pheasant). Its description in RNAcentral is "lncRNA (ENSPCLG00000005528.1)". Lineage: Eukaryota; Metazoa; Chordata; Aves; Galliformes; Phasianidae. The record is from RNAcentral.